Molecule: long non-coding RNA, 615 nt
Organism: Pseudopipra pipra
Lineage: Eukaryota; Metazoa; Chordata; Aves; Passeriformes; Pipridae
Exons: 3
Source: RefSeq, a predicted model, not a curated record
GACAAGGGCUGGAGUGACAGGACAGGGGGAAUGGCUUCCCACGGACAGAGGGCAGGGUUAGAUGGGAUACUGGGAAGGAAUUCUUGGCUGUGAGGGUGGGGAGGCACAGGUUUCCCAGAGAAGCUGUGGCUGCCCCUGGAUCCCUGCAAGUGUCCAAGGCCAGGUUGGACAGGGCUUGGAGCAACCUGGGCUAGUGGAAGGUGUCCCUGCCCAUGGCAGGGGCUGGAAUGAGAUGGGCUUUAAGGUCCUUUCCAGCACAAACCAUUCCAUUAUUCUCUGAAACAAGUGAUGUCAUAGACCCAUGAAGGACAGCUGGUAUCAGAGAGCCUUACACAAGCAGUGGGUGCAUUGUGCUUUUGCAGAGCAACAGCAUUUCAAACUUGAGAUGUCUGAACAGGCUAUGAUGAUCUCAUACUACUCUCACAAGAAAGGAGUUGACACCAGAACCAGAGGAAGAGCAAACUGACUUGUGCCCAGCAGCUAUCACUGGGAGAGGAUCCCCAGCUCCAAACCAUCCCGGCCUCCAAGCAGCCACUCUAUUUCCUGUGUAGUUUUCACAGGUGGCACAGAAGUUGGGGCAAUGUAAUUGUUGCAAUAAAGGAACCACAAAAUUCA